GAUGAACGCUAGCGGGAGGCUUAACACAUGCAAGUCGAGGGGCAGCAUAGGGUAGCAAUACUCUGAUGGCGACCGGCAAACGGGUGAGUAACGCGUAUGUAACCUACCCUGUACAGGGGGAUAACCCGGAGAAAUUCGGACUAAUAUCCCAUAACAAUAUCCGGGGGCAUCUUUGGAUAUUUAAAGUUCCGGCGGUACGGGAUGGGCAUGCGUAACAUUAGCUAGUUGGUAAGGUAACGGCUUACCAAGGCUUUGAUGUUUAGGGGUCCUGAGAGGGUGGUCCCCCACACUGGUACUGAGACACGGACCAGACUCCUACGGGAGGCAGCAGUGAGGAAUAUUGGUCAAUGGGCGCAAGCCUGAACCAGCCAUCCCGCGUGCAGGAAGACGGCGCUAUGCGUUGUAAACUGCUUUUCCAGGGAGAGAAACUUGCGCACGUGUUGCGCAAUUGACGGUACCCUGGGAAUAAGCAUCGGCUAACUCCGUGCCAGCAGCCGGGUAAACUAGUCUACG
Molecule: ribosomal RNA, 513 nt
Filed under: uncultured bacterium
Lineage: Bacteria
Description: bacterial SSU rRNA
Rfam family: Bacterial small subunit ribosomal RNA
Source: RNAcentral